Molecule: long non-coding RNA, 2147 nt
Filed under: Salmo salar (Atlantic salmon)
Lineage: Eukaryota; Metazoa; Chordata; Actinopteri; Salmoniformes; Salmonidae
Description: lncRNA (ENSSSAG00000114893.1)
Source: RNAcentral
CAGCAUGGCUGCCCAGAUCCUCACACUGAAGAUGAGGAUGACCUAGAUGUUCUCAUGGUUGAGGUAGUAAAUAACAGAAAUGGACUAGCCUGCGGAGAUGCUUUUUCUAUGCGGAACUACUUUACAAUAAACAAUAGCCAUGGAUUGGUAACACAUUUUUUAUUUUAUUCAGAAUUGAAAAUAAUGGGACCCCGAACUGGUGCUGGUUUUAAAAGAACAUUGGUACUGCUGCUGCUUUACGUUUCUCUCCUCCUCCUUCAUAGCCGUCUCAACAUGAGGUUUCUCUCCUCCUCCUCCUUCAUAGCCAACUCAAUAUGAGGUUUCUCUCCUCCUCCUUCAUAGCCAACUCAGUAUGAGGUUUCUCUCCUCCUCCUCCUUCAUAGCCAACUCAAUAUGAGGUUUCUCUCCUCCUCCUCCUUCAUAGCCAACUCAAUAUGAGGUUUCUCUCCUCCUCCUUCAUAGCCAACUCAAUAUGAGGUUUCUCUCCUCCUCCUCCUUCAUAGCCAACUCAAUAUGAGGUUUCUCUCCUCCUCCUCCUUCAUAGCCAACUCAAUAUGAGGUUUCUCUCCUCCUCCUUCAUAGCCAACUCAAUAUGAGGUUUCUCUCCUCCUCCUCCUUCAUAGCCAACUCAACAUUAGGUUUCUCUCCUCCUCCUUCAUAGCCAACUCAAUAUGAGGUUUUACAUCUUCAUAUUUUAAUUUAACCCUUAUUUCACCUGGUAAGUUGACUGAGAACACAUUCUCAUUUACAGCAACGACCUGGGGAAUAGUUACAGGGGAGAGGAGGGGAAUGAAUGAGCCAAUUGUAAGUUGGGGAUGAUUAGUUGACCGUGAUGGUAUGAGGGCCAGUUUGAGAAUUUAGCCAGGACACCAGGGGUUAACACCCCUACUCUUACAAUAAAGUCCAAUGAGAUCUUAAAUUACCACAGAGUCAAAACACCAGUUUAACGUCACAUCCGAAAGACAGCACCCUACACAGGGAAAUGUCCCCAAUCACUGCCCUGGGGCAUUGGGAUAUUUUUUGGACCAGAUGAAAAGGUGCCUCCUACUGGCCCUCCAACACCACUUCCAGCAGCAUCUGGUGCCCCAUCCAGGACCAAUCCUGCUUAGCUUCAGAAGCAAGCCAGCAGUGUGGUAUGCUGCUCUACUUUUAAAUACAUUAGUUUGAGCUCGUUAAAUUCCAUGGGCAGUUCCUCAUGCAUGCUCAGCAUCUUUGCCUUUGUGUCACUAACCCGGGCCAGAAGACGAUCUCCCUCCUGGCUGCUGCAGAUGUAGCAGGCUGACCUUCAUCCUGUUAAGACAAGUCUGUCUUAACCUCCAAGCUAUGGUGAUCAUCAGCCUCUAGAAAAUGAUUACAUUGCUGCAUUAGAGAACAUUAUUUCUUCAAGAGUUGAGUUCAUUACGUCAGUUUUAUUAUGGGAGUGCAAGAGAUGACUGACAAUAUCACAUAUUCCCUGCAGUCUGGGGAUGGAACAUGUUGAAUGAAUGUGUCCUACCAAAUGAAGAUUGGAACGGUCCCCCAUCUGAACUGUCCAAAUGGUCGUUGUCUAGGAUACCCUCCAGGGGUUUCUGGCUAUCAAUGAGCCCUGUCAACAAGUCUCCCAGCUCAUCUGCCGAUGGUCUUACUGAGGGCCAGCCACCAUCUUGAAACGCUCCCCACGACCAACCGCAUUUGUCUUCUUUAUGUCGAUUUUUAUGUUUUUUCCACAGGACUUUAGAAAGACAAGACAAUAUCGAAAUGAUGUUAGUAAUUAUGGAUGAUAUUUUUUGUUACAUUUCUGUCUCACAAAUACAUUUUGGUCCCACUGUGUUAUGUUACAGAAGAAAACUACCAUUUCAGAGUGACUCGGAUUUGUAAAAAGUGGGCAAACAAUAAAUCCAGUAUCUUACCUGAAGUUGUAGUGUCCUUUUGUUUACUUUUUUAAUUUGAGUUUAAUUCAUUACAAAUGGUAUCAUUAUUUUUGUGGUUUUCUGUUGAUGAAUCAUGCGGUCACGAAAAUGGAUUUAAUCAAAGUCAUUCCGUGGGUUUCGCUUCGAUCUAUAACCAGCCUUCUGCCUGGCCUUGAUGUGAUUAUCAUUGAAAAAGUCCAGGUAAUCAAAUCAAAUCAAAUGUAUUUAUGAAGCCCUUCUUACAUCAGCUGAUAUCUC